RNAcentral lists this signal recognition particle RNA (300 nucleotides) under Callithrix jacchus (white-tufted-ear marmoset). RNAcentral's name for it is "Metazoan signal recognition particle RNA (ENSCJAG00000080103.1)". It matches the Rfam family "Metazoan signal recognition particle RNA". From Rfam's summary of the family: The signal recognition particle (SRP) is a universally conserved ribonucleoprotein. The record is from Rfam by way of RNAcentral. Lineage: Eukaryota; Metazoa; Chordata; Mammalia; Primates; Cebidae.
GCUGGGUGCGGUGGCACAUGCCUGUGGUCCCAGCUACUCAGGAGGCUGAGGCUGGGGGAUCGCUUGAGCCCAGGAGUUCUGGGCUGUAGUGUGCUAUGCUGAUUGGGUGUCCGCACUAAGUUCGGCAUCAAUAUGGUGACCUCCUGGGAGCGGGGGACCACCAGGUUGCCUAAGGAGGGGUGAACCAGCCCAGGUUGGAAACGGAGCAGGUCAAAACUCCCGAGCUGAUCAGUAGUGGGAUCGCACCUGUGAAUAUCCACUGCACUCCAGCCUGGGCAACAUAGCGAGACCCUGUCUCUA